UACGUAGGUGGCAAGCGUUGUCCGGAUUUAUUGGGUUUAAAGGGUGCGUAGGCGGUCCCAUAAGUCAGUGCUGAAAUAUCCCGGCUUAACCGGGAGGGUGGCAUUGAUACUGUGGGACUUGAGUAAAGUUGAGGUUGGCGGAAUUGACGGUGUAGCGGUGAAAUGCUUAGAUAUCGUCAAGAACACCUAUUGCGAAGGCAGCUAACUAAGCUUUAACUGACGCUGAGGCACGAAAGUGUGGGGAGCAAACGGG
Molecule: ribosomal RNA, 253 nt
Filed under: uncultured bacterium
Lineage: Bacteria
Description: partial 16S ribosomal RNA
Rfam family: Bacterial small subunit ribosomal RNA
Source: RNAcentral